This 1369-nucleotide ribosomal RNA is filed under the name uncultured bacterium. Its description in RNAcentral is "bacterial SSU rRNA". It matches the Rfam family "Bacterial small subunit ribosomal RNA", at positions 28 to 1381 of the family's 1533-position model. The record is from RNAcentral.
GACGAACGCUGGCGGCGUGCCUAAUACAUGCAAGUAGAACGCUGAAGAGAGGAGCUUGCUCUUCUUGGAUGAGUUGCGAACGGGUGAGUAACGCGUAGGUAACCUGCCUUGUAGCGGGGGAUAACUAUUGGAAGCGAUAGCUAAUACCGCAUAACAAUGGAUGACCCAUGUCAUUUAUUUGAAAGGGGCAAAUGCUCCACUACAAGAUGGACCUGCGUUGUAUUAGCUAGUAGGUGAGGUAACGGCUCACCUAGGCGACAAUACAUAGCCGACCUGAGAGGGUGAUCGGCCACACUGGGACCGAGACACGGCCCAGACUCCUACGGGAGGCAGCAGUAGGGAAUCUUCGGCAAUGGGGGCAACCCUGACCGAGCAACGCCGCGUGAGUGAAGAAGGUUUUCGGAUCGUAAAGCUCUGUUGUAAGUCAAGAACGAGUGUGAGAGUGGAAAGUUCACACUGUGACGGUAGCUUACCAGAAAGGGACGGCUAACUACGUGCCAGCAGCCGCGGUAAUACGUAGGUCCCGAGCGUUGUCCGGAUUUAUUGGGCGUAAAGCGAGCGCAGGCGGUUUGAUAAGUCUGAAGUUAAAGGCUGUGGCGUAACCAUAGUUCGCUUUGGAAACUGUCAAACUUGAGUGCAGAAGGGGAGAGUGGAAUUCCAUGUGUAGCGGUGAAAUGCGUAGAUAUAUGGAGGAACACCGGUGGCGAAAGCGGCUCUCUGGUCUGUAACUGACGCUGAGGCUCGAAAGCGUGGGGAGCGAACAGGAUUAGAUACCCGGGUAGUCCACGCCGUAAACGAUGAGUGCUAGGUGUUGGAUCCUUUCCGGGAUUCAGUGCCGCAGCUAACGCAUUAAGCACUCCGCCUGGGGAGUACGACCGCAAGGCUGAAACUCAAAGGAAUUGACGGGGGCCCGCACAAGCGGUGGAGCAUGUGGUUUAAUUCGAAGCAACGCGAAGAACCUUACCAGGUCUUGACAUCCCGAUGCUAUUUCUAGAGAUAGAAAGUUACUUCGGUACAUCGGUGACAGGUGGUGCAUGGUUGUCGUCAGCUCGUGUCGUGAGAUGUUGGGUUAAGUCCCGCAACGAGCGCAACCCCUAUUGUUAGUUGCCAUCAUUCAGUUGGGCACUCUAGCGAGACUGCCGGUAAUAAACCGGAGGAAGGUGGGGAUGACGUCAAAUCAUCAUGCCCCUUAUGACCUGGGCUACACACGUGCUACAAUGGUUGGUACAACGAGUUGCGAGUCGGUGACGGCAAGCUAAUCUCUUAAAGCCAAUCUCAGUUCGGAUUGUAGGCUGCAACUCGCCUACAUGAAGUCGGAAUCGCUAGUAAUCGCGGAUCAGCACGCCGCGGUGAAUACGUUCCCGGGCCU